CCCACAAACAUUGAUAUAGAUCGAGUAUUACAUUACACUAAGAGAGAAACAAACAAUGGCCAUGGGAGUUGCUGCUCACUUCAAUCGUUUCUGGUUCCUUCUCUUCGUCCUCUAUUUCUCCAUCUCCCUCUCCUCCAUUUCUGGAUCUGUAAGUUAUCCAUUUAAAUCAAAUCGUUAAAGCUUUUUGAUAAUUUAUUAUCUGAAUUUUGUGUAAAUGCAGGAAGAGGAUUGUGUUUACAGUGCAUAUAUCCGAACUGGAUCAAUCAUCAAAGGUGGAACCGAUUCGAUCAUCAGUUUAACUCUCUUUGAUGAAAACGGGUACGGUAUUCGAAUAAAAAACCUGGAAGCUUGGGGUGGGCUUAUGGGCCCGGGUCACAACUAUUUUG
This 386-nucleotide long non-coding RNA is filed under the name Solanum lycopersicum (tomato). Its description in RNAcentral is "long non-coding RNA (SLYC_LNC000063)". Lineage: Eukaryota; Viridiplantae; Streptophyta; Magnoliopsida; Solanales; Solanaceae. The record is from RNAcentral.